Molecule: ribosomal RNA, 396 nt
Filed under: uncultured bacterium
Lineage: Bacteria
Description: partial 16S ribosomal RNA
Rfam family: Bacterial small subunit ribosomal RNA
Source: RNAcentral
GAUAUUUGUCAAUGGGGGGAACCCUGAACCAGCGACACCGCGUGAGGGAAGAAGGNUUNNGGAUCNUNAACCUCUGUUGUCGGNNNNNAUAAUGACGGUAUUCGAUGAGGAAGCCACGGCUAUCUACGUCCCAGAAGCCGCGGUAAUACGUAGGUGGCAAGCGUUGUCCGGAAUUACUGGGUGUAAAGGGAGCGUAGGCGGGAAGGCAAGUUGAAUGUUAAAUCUAUCGGCUCAACCGAUAGCCGCGUUCAAAACUGUCUUACUUGAGUGAAGUAGAGGCAAGCAGAAUUCCUAGUGUAGCGGUGAAAUGCGUAGAGAUUAGGAGGAAUACCAGUGGCGAAGGCGGCUUGCUGGGCUUUUACUGACGCUGAGGCUCGAAAGUGUGGGGAGCAAAAA